Molecule: ribosomal RNA, 497 nt
Filed under: uncultured bacterium
Lineage: Bacteria
Description: partial 16S ribosomal RNA
Rfam family: Bacterial small subunit ribosomal RNA
Source: RNAcentral
GAUGAACGCUGGCGGCGUCCCUAAUACAUGCAAGUCGAGCGAACAGAUGAGGAGCUUGCUCCUCUGACGUUAGCGGCGGACGGGUGAGUAACACGUGGAUAACCUACCUAUAAGACUGGGAUAACUUCGGGAAACCGGAGCUAAUACCGGAUAAUAUAUUGAACCGCAUGGUUCAAUAGUGAAAGACGGUUUUGCUGUCACUUAUAGAUGGAUCCGCGCCGCAUUAGCUAGUUGGUAAGGUAACGGCUUACCAAGGCAACGAUGCGUAGCCGACCUGAGAGGGUGAUCGGCCACACUGGAACUGAGACACGGUCCAGACUCCUACGGGAGGCAGCAGUAGGGAAUCUUCCGCAAUGGGCGAAAGCCUGACGGAGCAACGCCGCGUGAGUGAUGAAGGUCUUCGGAUCGUAAAACUCUGUUAUUAGGGAAGAACAAAUGUGUAAGUAACUAUGCACGUCUUGACGGUACCUAAUCAGAAAGCCACGGCUAACUACGUG